GCCAGACUCCUACGGGAGGCAGCAGUAGGGAAUCUUCCACAAUGGACGAAAGUCUGAUGGAGCAACGCCGCGUGAGUGAAGAAGGGUUUCGGCUCGUAAAGCUCUUUUGGUAGUGAAGAAAGAUAGAGGUAGUAACUGGCCUUUAUUUGACGGUAAUUACUUAGAAAGUCACGGCUAACUACGUGCCAGCAGCCGCGGUAAUACGUAGGUGGCAAGCGUUGUCCGGAUUUACUGGGUGUAAAGGGCGUGCAGCCGGGCUGACAAGUCAGAUGUGAAAUCCCGCGGCUCAACCGCGGAACUGCAUUUGAAACUGUCAGUCUUGAGUACCGGAGAGGUCAUCGGAAUUCCUUGUGUAGCGGUGAAAUGCGUAGAUAUAAGGAAGAACACCAGUGGCGAAGGCGGAUGACUGGACGGCAACUGACGGUGAGGCGCGAAAGCGUGGGGAGCAAACAGGAUUAGAUACCCGCGUA
This 470-nucleotide ribosomal RNA is filed under the name uncultured bacterium. RNAcentral describes it as "bacterial SSU rRNA". It matches the Rfam family "Bacterial small subunit ribosomal RNA", at positions 330 to 792 of the family's 1533-position model. The record is from RNAcentral.